This 403-nucleotide ribosomal RNA is filed under the name uncultured bacterium. Its description in RNAcentral is "bacterial SSU rRNA". It matches the Rfam family "Bacterial small subunit ribosomal RNA", at positions 356 to 773 of the family's 1533-position model. The record is from RNAcentral.
GGGGAAUAUUGGGCAAUGGGCGAAAGCCUGACCCAGCGACGCCGCGUGAGGGAAGAAGGUCUUCGGAUUGUAAACCUCUGUUGACAGGGACGAAGGAAGUGACGGUACCUGUUGAGGAAGCCACGGCUAACUACGUGCCAGCAGCCGCGGUAAUACGUAGGUGGCAAGCGUUAUCCGGAAUUACUGGGUGUAAAGGGUGAGUAGGCGGGGAAGCAAGUCAGAUGUGAAAUGCAAAGGCUUAACCUUUGAAUUGCAUUUGAAACUGUUUCUCUUGAGGGUCGGAGAGGUAAUCGGAAUUCCUAGUGUAGCGGUGAAAUGCGUAGAUAUUAGGAGGAACACCAGUGGCGAAGGCGGAUUACUGGACGACUACUGACGCUGAAUCACGAAAGCGUGGGGAGCAAAC